Molecule: long non-coding RNA, 1374 nt
Filed under: Chrysemys picta bellii (western painted turtle)
Lineage: Eukaryota; Metazoa; Chordata; Testudines; Emydidae
Description: lncRNA (ENSCPBG00000016451.1)
Source: RNAcentral
CAGCAGCUCGCAGACAGCCCCACCAGUGCCUGGCUGCCGCGGGCAGGGGAAAUUGGACUCACAUUGGCUCUUGGAGCACAAACAUGAAGCAACUUCCCCACGGACGGAUCAAAAUCAGCCCCAUGCCGGGCUAGCACAGUGGAGAGGCAGCGAGGGACCGACGCUCGGGGCAGCCACGGGAGCGCUGGAUGUCAGCAAGGCCCAGCGCUGAGCCUAGAAUGGACUCGAGCCAGGAGUUCUGGGGUGUCUGGCUCAACUCACUGUGUGACCUUGUGCAAGGCACGUGCCCCUUGUGUGCCUCAGUUUCCCCCACGCAAGAAGGUUAACACCUAGCGCACCCCAUGAGGGAGUUGUGAGGCUCAGCUCAUUGGUGCGGGUAAGGUGCUUUGAGAUCCUCUGGCGGAAAGUGCUUGAGCCAGGUGAAGCGUGAGACAAAGUAAAAGCCUUUCACCCUAUACAGGGGGAUCCACUGAUUCGUGUUUCAGCUGCUGUGCGUCUCUUGAGCCUCCUUCCACGAGAAUACCGCACGCUCACCGGGGAUAUGUGUACGUGGAGCUGGGGGUGUUUCCCGGGUCAAGGAGACGUACCCACAUGAGCUCUGAUCGGGACAAAAUGAACAAGGAAAUGAAUCCUCCCAAGAUGCCAAAUGGCAGAUUGAAAGGCUGUGCCGGCUUUGCUCAGAGAAUGGAAACACCAGAGGGCCCUGUUCAGAGGUGCUGGACCUGCUGUUUGAAUUGCUCAGGGGGGCAGAUAUGCGUUUUGGAGGCCUCGCUAGAAAUGGAGGGGCACCAUCAGCUGUGCUGCCCAUUGCAGUGCAGUAGGACUUGGGGACGUGAUAACUCCUGGUGCUCAGAGUCGAUGUAAAAGGAACAGAGUGAAGACAUGUCCUCUCAGGGCCCUGCUGAAGGAGGCUGAAUCAGUGUAACCUUUAUUUCUUUUUCCAUAACGCCAGGGCCCUGCACUGCUUGCACUCAGCGACCCAGAGAGCUAUUGCGCCAGUUUGCAUUUCAAUAGACGCCGCUACCACCCCUCCAUCUCCUUCAAUCAUGCUGAAAACCAUCUGUCCCCCACAGCGCAGGACUGACAAGCCCUCCACAUUAUUGACUGAGCACCCUCAGCAUUCUCCCUGCAUUGUACAAAUAGGGAAUGGUAUUUCCCCCUGCUCCUAGGACCUGAUUUUCUAGCAAGGACACACAACGCAUUCCAGGUACAUAAUACACCCUCUGAGCACAGGAAGGUCACUCUCAAGGCAGUGCCAGCGCUCUUUGCAUUGGCAAAUGACACUGGUAGCCAUGCCAAUUAGCUGUGCCAAUUAGUGUCACAGCAAAGAAAAGGCAGUCGUUUGACUUUAUGACUCACCUGACAAGGUAACAG